This 497-nucleotide ribosomal RNA is filed under the name uncultured bacterium. RNAcentral's name for it is "partial 16S ribosomal RNA". It matches the Rfam family "Bacterial small subunit ribosomal RNA", at positions 28 to 507 of the family's 1533-position model. The record is from RNAcentral.
GAUGAACGCUGGCGGCGUGCCUAAUACAUGCAAGUCGAGCGAACAGACGAGGAGCUUGCUCCUCUGACGUUAGCGGCGGACGGGUGAGUAACACGUGGAUAACCUACCUAUAAGACUGGGAUAACUUCGGGAAACCGGAGCUAAUCCCGGAUAAUAUAUUGAACCGCAUGGUUCAAUAGUGAAAGACGGUUUUGCUGUCACUUAUAGAUGGAUCCGCGCCGCAUUAGCUAGUUGGUAAGGUAACGGCUUACCAAGGCGACGAUGCGUAGCCGACGUGAGAGGGUGAUCGGCAACACUGGAACUGAGACACGGUCCAGACUCCUACGGGAGGCAGCAGUAGGGAAUAUUCCGCAAUGGGCGAAAGCUUGACGGAGCAACGCCGCGUGAGUGAUGAAGGUCUUCGGAUCGUAAAACUCUGUUAUUAGGGAAGAACAAAUGUGUAAGUAACUAUGAACGUAUUGACGGUACCUAAUCAGAAAGCCACGGCUAACUACGUG